AAAAAAGAUCGACUCAGGCCCUGUUUAGUUCCCCACCUAAAAAUUUUUCAUCCAUCCCAUCGAAUCUUUGGACACAUACAUGGAACAUUAAAUGUAGAUAAAAAAAUAAACUAAUUACACAGUUUAGUUGAGAAUUGCGAGACGAAUCUUUUAAGCCUAGUUACUCUAUGAUUAGCCUUAAGUGCUACAGUAACCCAAAUAUGCUAAUGACAGAUUAAUUAUGCUUAAUAAAUUUGUCUUGCAGUUUCCUGACGAGCUAUGUAAUUUGUUUUUUUAUUAGUUUUUAAAAACUCUCCCGACAUCCUUCCGACACAUCCGAUGUGACACCCAAAAAAUUUUCGUUCCCAAUCUAAACAGGCCCUCAGUAUCUCUUCCAUCUUUUUUCUGUACGUGACCGGCUCUUCGGCUACCGUCGCCUCCGCCCGUCCUUCCUGCUCCCGCCACUGCCCUUCCUCCUCCACGUCGCAGUCCUUCUUCCUCCACGCCGCGGCUCCACUUCCUCCUCCACGCUGCUUCCUCCAUGGAUGGAGGAGAGCCGCCGCCCACUGAUCCAGCACCGCAGGACACCACUGGAGGCACCGCCCGUAGGAAAACCCUAGGCGAUGGGCUGGUGGCCGCGACUGUUGGCUUUGUGGCCGAGGCUCCUGCUUCUGGUGGCCACGUCGUGAUCACGGCUGCUGCUUUUGGAGCCAGCCAAGGAGGCCAGCCAGCCAGCCAAGGCGGCCAGCAAGCCAGGCAAGGCAGCGGCCAGCCCGGCAAGCCAGCCAGUUAGAAUGUAUCUUUUUUUUUUACGGCAAGCAGAAUCAAUCAAUCGUUUGUUUUCCAGAAGGG
This 831-nucleotide long non-coding RNA is filed under the name Sorghum bicolor (sorghum). RNAcentral's name for it is "long non-coding RNA (SBIC_LNC016693)". Lineage: Eukaryota; Viridiplantae; Streptophyta; Magnoliopsida; Poales; Poaceae. The record is from RNAcentral.